CCAUUGGAACGGUGGCUAAUACCGGAUGUGCCGGGAGGUGAAAGAUUAAUUGCCUGAAGAUGAGCUCGCGUCUGAUUAGCUAGUUGGUGUGGUAAGAGCGCACCAAGGCGACGAUCAGUAGCUGGUCUGAGAGGAUGACCAGCCACACUGGGACUGAGACACGGCCCAGACUCCUACGGGAGGCAGCAGUGGGGAAUUUUCCGCAAUGGGCGAAAGCCUGACGGAGCAAUACCGCGUGAGGGAGGAAGGCUCUUGGGUCGUAAACCUCUUUUCUCAAGGAAUAAGAAAGUGAAGGUACUUGAGGAAUAAGCAUCGGCUAACUCCGUGCCAGCAGCCGCGGUAAUACGGAGGAUGCAAGCGUUAUCCGGAAUGAUUGGGCGUAAAGGGUCCGCAGGUGGCAUUGUGUGUCUGCUGUUAAAGAGUUUGGCUUAACCAGAUAAAAGCAGUGGAAACUACAAAGCUAGAGUGCGUUCGGGGCAGAAGGAAUUCCUGGUGUAGCGGUGAAAUGCGUAGAGAUCAGGAAGAA
RNAcentral lists this ribosomal RNA (526 nucleotides) under Nostoc sp. DRL_2. RNAcentral's name for it is "bacterial SSU rRNA". It matches the Rfam family "Bacterial small subunit ribosomal RNA", at positions 147 to 706 of the family's 1533-position model. The record is from RNAcentral. Lineage: Bacteria; Bacillati; Cyanobacteriota; Cyanophyceae; Nostocales; Nostocaceae.